ACAUCCAGAGAAUUUAGCAGAGAUGCUUUAGUGCCUUCGGGAACUCUGAGACAGGUGCUGCAUGGCUGUCGUCAGCUCGUGUUGUGAAAUGUUGGGUUAAGUCCCGNAACGAGCGCAACCCUUAUCCUUUGUUGCCAGCACGUAAUGGUGGGAACUCAAAGGAGACUGCCGGUGAUAAACCGGAGGAAGGUGGGGAUGACGUCAAGUCAUCAUGGCCCUUACGAGUAGGGCUACACACGUGCUACAAUGGCGCAUACAAAGAGAAGCGACCUCGCGAGAGCAAGCGGACCUCAUAAAGUGCGUCGUAGUCCGGAUUGGAGUCUGCAACUCGACUCCAUGAAGUCGGGAUCGCUAGUAAUCGUAAAUCAGAAUGUUACGGUGAAUACGUUCCCGGGCCUUGUACACACCGCCCGUCACACCAUGGGAGUGGGUUGCAAAAGAAGUAGAUAGCUUAACCUUCGGGAGGGCGUUUACCACUUUGUGAUUCAUGACUGGGGUGAAGUCGUAACAAGGUAAGCGUAGUGCU
RNAcentral lists this ribosomal RNA (526 nucleotides) under uncultured bacterium. RNAcentral describes it as "bacterial SSU rRNA". It matches the Rfam family "Bacterial small subunit ribosomal RNA", at positions 984 to 1509 of the family's 1533-position model. The record is from RNAcentral.